Non-coding RNA from Acanthosepion pharaonis, 112 nucleotides. The record is from the annotation of a GenBank genome assembly. Lineage: Eukaryota; Metazoa; Mollusca; Cephalopoda; Sepiida; Sepiidae.
UACGGCCAUAUCACGUUGAAACACCGAAUCCUGUAAGAUCACCGAAGUUAAGCAACGUUGAGCCUAGUCAGCAACUAGAUGGGUGACUGCUUGGUGAUACCAGAUGCUGUAA